RNAcentral lists this ribosomal RNA (424 nucleotides) under uncultured bacterium. Its description in RNAcentral is "partial 16S ribosomal RNA". It matches the Rfam family "Bacterial small subunit ribosomal RNA", at positions 360 to 776 of the family's 1533-position model. The record is from RNAcentral.
AAUAUUGGACAAUGGGGGGAACCCUGAUCCAGCUAUGCCGCGUGUGUGAAGACGGUCUUCGGUUUGUAUAGCACUUUAAGUUGGGAGGAAGGGCUGAACGCUAAUACCUUUCUGUUUUGACGCUACCGACAGAUUAAGUCCCGGUUUACUUCGUGUCGGCAGCUGCGGUAAUACGAAGGGUGCAAGCGUUAAUCGGAAUUACUGGGCGUAAAGCGCGCGUAGGUGGUUUGUUAAGUUGGAAGUGAAAGCCCCGGGCUCAACCUGGGAACUGCUUUCAAAACUGGCAAGCUAAAGUAUGGCAGAGGGUGGUGGAAUUUCCUGUGUAGCGGUGAAAUGCGUAGAUAUAGGAAGGAACACCAGUGGCGAAGGCGACUACCUGGACUGAUACUGACACUGAGGUGCGAAAGCGUGGAGAGCAAACAGG